This 465-nucleotide ribosomal RNA is filed under the name uncultured bacterium. RNAcentral's name for it is "partial 16S ribosomal RNA". It matches the Rfam family "Bacterial small subunit ribosomal RNA", at positions 28 to 507 of the family's 1533-position model. The record is from RNAcentral.
GACGAACGCUGGCGGCGUGCUUAACACAUGCAAGUCGUACGGUAAGGCCCUUUCGGGGGUACACGAGUGGCGCACGGGUGAGUAACACGUGAGUAACCUGCCCACAACUUUGGGAUAACGCUAGGAAACUGGUGCUAAUACUGGAUAUGUGCUCCUGCUGCAUGGUGGGGGUUGGAACGCUCCGGCGGUUGUGGAUGGACUCGCGGCCUAUCAGCUUGUUGGUGGGGUAGUGGCCUACCAAGGCGGCGACGGGUAGCCGGCCUGAGAGGGUGACCGGCCACAUUGGGACUGAGAUACGGCCCAGACUCCUACGGGAGGCAGCAGUGGGGAAUAUUGCACAAUGGGCGCAAGCCUGAUGCAGCAACGCCGCGUGCGGGAUGACGGCCUUCGGGUUGUAAACCGCUUUCAGCAGGGACGAAGCUUUUUGUGACGGUACCUGCAGAAGAAGCACCGGCUAACUACGUG